GAUGAAGAACGUAGCGAAAUGCGAAAAGUAAUGUGAAUUGCAGAAUUCAGUGAACCAUCGAAUCUUUGAACGCACAUUGCGCCCGCUGGAACUCCGGCGGGCACGCCUGUCCGAGCGUCAUUUCAACCCUCAGGCCCCCCUUCGCGGGCGGGCCUGGUGUUGGGGCCCGGCCGCUACCCUGCGGCCGUCCCCUAAAUCCAGUGGCGGCCUCGCCGUGAUCCCUUGCGUAGUAAUGCACCUCGCACCGGAGAGCGCCGUGGCCACGCCGUAAAACCCCCAAUUUUCAAUGGUUGACCUCGGAUCAGGUGGGAAUACCCGCUGAACUUAAGCAUAUAAUAAGCGGAGGA
RNAcentral lists this unclassified non-coding RNA (347 nucleotides) under soil metagenome. RNAcentral describes it as "partial contains 5.8S ribosomal RNA, internal transcribed spacer 2, and large subunit ribosomal RNA". The stretch from base 1 to 120 matches the Rfam family "5.8S ribosomal RNA", at positions 35 to 154 of the family's 154-position model. The record is from RNAcentral.